CCUACGGGCGGCAGCAGUGAGGAAUAUUGGUCAAUGGGCGAGAGCCUGAACCAGCCAAGUCGCGUGAGGGAAGACGGUCCUACGGAUUGUAAACCUCUUUUGUCAGGGAGCAAGGAGUGCCACUAGUGGUGCGGCGAGAGUACCUUAAGUAAAAGCAUCGGCUAACUCCGUGCCAGCAGCCGCGGUAAUACGGAGGAUGCGAGCGUUAUCCGGAUUUUUUGGGUUUAAGGGGUGCGAAGGCGGAAGGUGCAAGUCAAUGGUAACAUUUCGGGGCUCAACCUCGCCGAGCCGUUGAAACUGCUAUUCUAGAGUGGACGAGAGGUAUGCGGAAUGCGUGGUGUAGCGGUGAAAUGCAUAGAUAUCACGCAGAACUCCAAUGGCGAAGGCAGCAUACCGGCGCCCAACUGACGCUGAGGCACGAAAGCGUGGGGAUCGAACAGGAUUAGAUACCCGUGUAGUC
This 460-nucleotide ribosomal RNA is filed under the name uncultured bacterium. RNAcentral's name for it is "partial 16S ribosomal RNA". It matches the Rfam family "Bacterial small subunit ribosomal RNA", at positions 338 to 795 of the family's 1533-position model. The record is from RNAcentral.